CUGAACCAGCCAAGUAGCGUGAAGGAUGACUGCCCUAUGGGUUGUAAACUUCUUUUAUACGGGAAUAAAGUGAGCCACGUGUGGCUUUUUGUAUGUACCGUAUGAAUAAGGAUCGGCUAACUCCGUGCCAGCAGCCGCGGUAAUACGGAGGAUCCGAGCGUUAUCCGGAUUUAUUGGGUUUAAAGGGAGCGCAGACGGGAGAUUAAGUCAGUUGUGAAAGUUUGCGG
Molecule: ribosomal RNA, 227 nt
Filed under: uncultured Bacteroides sp.
Lineage: Bacteria; Pseudomonadati; Bacteroidota; Bacteroidia; Bacteroidales; Bacteroidaceae
Description: partial 16S ribosomal RNA
Rfam family: Bacterial small subunit ribosomal RNA
Source: RNAcentral